UUAGUUGCUACAUUCAUUGGGCACUCUAAUGAGACUGCCGGUGGACAAACCGGAGGAAGUGGGGAUGACGUCAAGUCCUCAUGGCCCUUAUAGGUGGGGCUACACACGUCAUACAAUGGAUGGUACAAAGGGUCGCCAACCCGCGAGGGGGGAGCCAAUCCCAUAAAGCCAUUCGUAGUCCGGAUCGCAGUCUGCAACUCGACUGCGUGAAGUCGGAAUCGCUAGUAAUCGUGGAUCAGAAUGUCACGGUGAAUACGUUCCCGGGUCUU
Molecule: ribosomal RNA, 269 nt
Filed under: uncultured Acidovorax sp.
Lineage: Bacteria; Pseudomonadati; Pseudomonadota; Betaproteobacteria; Burkholderiales; Comamonadaceae
Description: partial 16S ribosomal RNA
Rfam family: Bacterial small subunit ribosomal RNA
Source: RNAcentral